ACUCAUCUCUCCAUCACACCUUCUCUAGGCCGGAAAGUCACCGGUACUCUUUUCGGUCACCGGCGUGGACAUGUCAGCUUUGCAGUCCAGGACGAUCCCAGGUUGGAACCGGUGUUGUUACUUGAACUAGCCAUGUCAACGUCCAUGCUAGUAAAGGAAAUGUCGUCAGGUCUGGUUCGGAUCGCCCUGGAGUGCGACAAGGUUCAGGUUCCGGCACAAGGCAGAGGCACCAGGUCAGGGAAGCUGUUUAACGAGCCAAUGUGGACUAUGUAUUGUAACGGGAGGAAGUGUGGAUAUGCAGCGUCGCGCACGUGCACAGACCUUGAUUGGCAUGUGCUAACCACCGUGCAGAGCGUUUCUGUUGGAGCUGGGGUCAUUCCAAUGGUGCAAGAUGGCCGGAAGAGCGGCGCGUCAGACGGCGAGUUGCUGUAUAUGAGAGCAAAGUUUGAGCGAGUUGUAGGUAGCCGUGACUCGGUGGCGUUUUACAUGAUGAACCCAGAUGGAAGUGGAGGGCCUGAACUCGGUAUAUUUCUUCUAAGAACAUGAAAAAGGAGAAAAAAAAAUACAAGGAAAAAAAACUUGUUGGUAUAUAUUUUUUAGGCAAUUAAUGGAAGGUGGAGAUGUUUGUUUAAUUAAUUAGUGAAAUGUAUGAAUUUUUUUUUUUUCCUAAUAUGUGCUUUUGUUAUAUGUUGAU
Molecule: unclassified non-coding RNA, 694 nt
Filed under: Hevea brasiliensis (rubber tree)
Lineage: Eukaryota; Viridiplantae; Streptophyta; Magnoliopsida; Malpighiales; Euphorbiaceae
Source: RNAcentral